AUGGUUAAGUGACUAAGCGUACACGGUGGAUGCCUUGGCAGUCAGAGGCGAUGAAGGACGUAUUAACUUGCGAUAAGCCUAGUUUAGAUAGUAAAAAUCACUUGAGACUAGGAUUUCCGAAUGGGGAAACCCAGCUGCAUAAGCAGUUAUCAUAACGUGAAUACAUAGCGUUAUGAGGCGAACCGGGGGAACUGAAACAUCUAAGUACCCCGAGGAAGAGAAAUCAAUUGAGAUUCCGGCAGUAGCGGCGAGCGAACCCGGAUUAGCCCUUAAGCGGCAUUAGCGUUAGGUGAAGGUACUGGAAAGUACAGCGAUACAGGGUGAUAGCCCCGUAACCGACAACGCUUUUACCGUGAAAUCGAGUAGGACGGGACACGUGAUAUCCUGUUUGAACAUGGGGGGACCAUCCUCCAAGGCUAAAUACUCCUGACUGACCGAUAGUGAACCAGUACCGUGAGGGAAAGGCGAAAAGAACCCCUGUGAGGGGAGUGAAAUAGAACCUGAAACCGUGUACGUACAAGCAGUAGGAGCCCACUUGUUGGGUGACUGCGUACCUUUUGUAUAAUGGGUCAGCGACUUAAUUUUAGUAGCAAGGUUAACCGUUUAGGGGAGCCGUAGGGAAACCGAGUCUUAACUGGGCGUACAGUUGCUAGGAUUAGACCCGAAACCAAGUGAUCUAGCCAUGGGCAGGUUGAAGUGAGGUAACACUUACUGGAGGACCGAACCGACUAAUGUU
RNAcentral lists this ribosomal RNA (736 nucleotides) under Photobacterium profundum 3TCK. Its description in RNAcentral is "bacterial LSU rRNA". It matches the Rfam family "Bacterial large subunit ribosomal RNA", at positions 1 to 790 of the family's 2925-position model. The record is from RNAcentral. Lineage: Bacteria; Pseudomonadati; Pseudomonadota; Gammaproteobacteria; Vibrionales; Vibrionaceae.